RNAcentral lists this microRNA precursor (197 nucleotides) under Oryza sativa Japonica Group (Japanese rice). Its description in RNAcentral is "MIR812 microRNA precursor family". It matches the Rfam family "MIR812 microRNA precursor family". The record is from Rfam by way of RNAcentral. Lineage: Eukaryota; Viridiplantae; Streptophyta; Magnoliopsida; Poales; Poaceae.
AAUAAGUGCAGCCAUGAAUAUCCGUGCCGAACGUUUGACCGUCCGUCUUAUUUGAAAAAUUUGAAAAUAUUUAGUCACACAUAAAGUACUAUUCAUGUUUUAUCAUCUAAUAGAAAUAAAAAUACUAAUCAUAAAAAAUUUUUAAAUAAGACGAACGGUCAAACGUUGAACGUAAAUAGUGUAAAACUGCACUUAUU